GGGGCUGUAGCGCAGAGGUCGACGCACCAAUACUGCAUGUUGGAGGACGCCGGUUCGAAUCCGGCCGGCUCCG
RNAcentral lists this transfer RNA (73 nucleotides) under Actinomadura nitritigenes. RNAcentral describes it as "tRNA-Gln". It matches the Rfam family "tRNA". Rfam says of the family: Transfer RNA (tRNA) molecules are approximately 80 nucleotides in length. Their secondary structure includes four short double-helical elements and three loops (D, anti-codon, and T loops). The record is from RNAcentral. Lineage: Bacteria; Bacillati; Actinomycetota; Actinomycetes; Streptosporangiales; Thermomonosporaceae.